GAUGAACGCUGGCGGCGUGCCUAAUACAUGCAAGUCGAGCGAACAGAUAAGGAGCUUGCUCCUUUGACGUUAGCGGCGGACGGGUGAGUAACACGUGGGUAACCUACCUAUAAGACUGGAAUAACUCCGGGAAACCGGGGCUAAUGCCGGAUAACAUUUAGAACCGCAUGGUUCUAAAGUGAAAGGUGGUUUUGCUAUCACUUAUAGAUGGACCCGCGCCGUAUUAGCUAGUUGGUAAGGUAACGGCUUACCAAGGCAACGAUACGUAGCCGACCUGAGAGGGUGAUCGGCCACACUGGAACUGAGACACGGUCCAGACUCCUACGGGAGGCAGCAGUAGGGAAUCUUCCGCAAUGGGCGAAAGCCUGACGGAGCAACGCCGCGUGAGUGAUGAAGGUCUUCGGAUCGUAAAACCCUGUUAUUAGGGAAGAACAAAUGUGUAAGUAACUGUGCACGUCUUGACGGUACCUAAUCAGAAAGCCACGGCUAACUACGUG
This 497-nucleotide ribosomal RNA is filed under the name uncultured bacterium. RNAcentral describes it as "partial 16S ribosomal RNA". It matches the Rfam family "Bacterial small subunit ribosomal RNA", at positions 28 to 507 of the family's 1533-position model. The record is from RNAcentral.